AGACACGGCCCAGAUUCUAACGGGAGCCACCAGUAGGGAAUCUUCCACAAUGGCCGAAAGCCGGAUGGAGCAACGCCGCGUGAGUGAAGAAGUUUUUCGGAUCGUAAAACUCUGUUGUAAGGGAAGAACAAGUACAGUAGUAACUGGCUGUACAUGGACGGUACCUUAUUAGAAAGCCACGGCNAACUACGUGCCAGCAGCCGCGGUAAUACGUAGCCGGCAAGCGUUGUCCGGAAUUAUUGGGCGUAAAGCGCGCGCAGGUGGUCCUUUAAGUCUGAUGUGAAAGCCCACGGCUCAACCGUGGAGGGUCAUUGGAAACUGGGGGACUUGAGUGCCAGAAGAGGAAAGUGGAAUUCCAAGUGUACCGGUGAAAUGCGUAGAGAUUUGGAGGAACACCAGUGGCGAAGGCGACUUUCUGGUCUGUAACUGACACUGAGGCGCGAAAGCGUGGGGAGCAAACAGGAUUAGAUACCCUGGUAGUCCACGCCGUAAAC
This 494-nucleotide ribosomal RNA is filed under the name uncultured bacterium. Its description in RNAcentral is "bacterial SSU rRNA". It matches the Rfam family "Bacterial small subunit ribosomal RNA", at positions 322 to 807 of the family's 1533-position model. The record is from RNAcentral.